ACGAACGCUGGCGGCGUGCCUAAUACAUGCAAGUCGAGCGGGUGUUUGGAAGCUGCUUCCGAAGCAACCUAGCGGCGGACGGGUGAGUAAUACGUAGGCAACCUGCCCCUCAGCCUGGGAUAACUAGCGGAAACGUUAGCUAAUACCGGAUAAUUUGCUUCAUCGCAUGAAGGAGCAAUGAAAGACGGAGCAAUCUGUCACUAAGGGAUGGGCCUACGGCGCAUUAGCUAGUUGGUAGGGUAAUGGCCUACCAAGGCGACGAUGCGUAGCCGACCUGAGAGGGUGAACGGCCACACUGGGACUGAGACACGGCCCAGACUCCUACGGGAGGCAGCAGUAGGGAAUCUUCCGCAAUGGACGCAAGUCUGACGGAGCAACGCCGCGUGAGUGAUGAAAGGUUUUCGGAUCGUAAAGCUCUGUUGCCAGGGAAGAACGUCUUGGAGAGUAACUGCUCUAAGAGUGACGGUACCUGAGAAGAAAGCCCCGGCUAACUACGUGCCAGCAGCAGC
RNAcentral lists this ribosomal RNA (509 nucleotides) under uncultured bacterium. RNAcentral describes it as "bacterial SSU rRNA". It matches the Rfam family "Bacterial small subunit ribosomal RNA", at positions 29 to 518 of the family's 1533-position model. The record is from RNAcentral.